CAGGGGGUGGGCAUUUCCCGGGGAGAGGGGAGGAGCGAGGCCCAACUAGGGCCCAAAAAGGUCGUGUCUUGCCGGCAUCAAUGGUGUCUCAUCCUUGAAAGGAAGCGGCCUUGAGCAGCGUCUUGGGCUCUUGGGGAUUGAAACACGGACCUGGAUUUAUGGGAGAGAGGAGAAAGAGAGGGAGAGAAACAUUGCUGUGAAAAGCAUGGAUCUGUUGUUUCUCCUACAUGUUGACCUAACCAGGGAAAGAACCCACACAGCCCAAGCAUGUGCCCUGACUGGGAAUCGAACCCGCAGCUUUUUGCGUUACCAGAUGAAGCUCAACCUGUCAGGGUGCAAAUUAGGGCAGUCCAGUGAGAGCCUUAGCUCUUCACUCAGUUAUUCUGCUUGUAUCUGUUUCAUUUAUGGCAAG
Molecule: long non-coding RNA, 412 nt
Organism: Phyllostomus discolor (pale spear-nosed bat)
Lineage: Eukaryota; Metazoa; Chordata; Mammalia; Chiroptera; Phyllostomidae
Exons: 3
Source: RefSeq, a predicted model, not a curated record